This 505-nucleotide long non-coding RNA is filed under the name Ursus maritimus (polar bear). RNAcentral describes it as "lncRNA (ENSUMAG00000021557.1)". Lineage: Eukaryota; Metazoa; Chordata; Mammalia; Carnivora; Ursidae. The record is from RNAcentral.
CUCGAUCCCAUAACGCCGGGAUCACGCCCUGAGCCGAAGGCAGGCGCUUAACCGCUGUGCCACCCAGGCGCCCCUAAUAAAUUAAUUUUUAUUCGGAUUCUGUCCAUUUAAUUUUUGUUACAUGCUUCUCAACCAUGCUCGUUCCUCAUUGCUUUUAGGCAUAGAACUUCCUAAAUAAUUAGCCUGAGCAAGAACACGUUGGUAUUAGCAGCUGUAACACAUUGCAUUUCUGGCAGUGGAAUUCUGCAGACAGACUCUGAGUCCUCGCACCGUGUCCCUGAACAAAGAAGCCUUGCUUCUGAGCAUGUGCGUCUCGACAAGGACCUUCAAGUCUUGUUCUUAGUAGACCAGCAUCUUUUCUAUCUCUGUACGUUGGGAAUUAUCAGUCGGGUGUCACCGGGAUGAAGUUGUGGCCAGGAACUUAAAACCUUAAGAGGAGACUAAGGUUGGGGGCCUUCAGUUGGAGCUGUGUCCGUGACAGUUGUUGCAUUUGCUGACCGAAAGC